AGUGAACGCUGGCGGUAGGCCUAACACAUGCCAGUCGAACGGCAGCACAGUAAGAGCUUGCUCUUACGGGUGGCGAGUGGCGGACGGGUGAGGAAUACAUCGGAAUCUACUUUUUCGUGGGGGAUAACGUGGGGAAACUUACGCUAAUACCGCAUACGACCUACGGGUGAAAGCAGGGGAUCUUCGGACCUUGCGCGAUUGAAUGAGCCGAUGUCGGAUUAGCUAGUUGGCGGGGUAAAGGCCCACCAAGGCGACGAUCCGUAGCUGGUCUGAGAGGAUGAUCAGCCACACUGGAACUGAGACACGGUCCAGACUCCUACGGGAGGCAGCAGUGGGGAAUAUUGGACAAUGGGCGCAAGCCUGAUCCAGCCAUACCGCGUGGGUGAAGAAGGCCUUCGGGUUGUAAAGCCCUUUUGUUGGGAAAGAAAAGCAGCAGGUUAAUACCCCGCUGUUCUGACGGUACCCAAAGAAUAAGCACCGGCUAACUUCGUG
This 492-nucleotide ribosomal RNA is filed under the name uncultured bacterium. RNAcentral's name for it is "partial 16S ribosomal RNA". It matches the Rfam family "Bacterial small subunit ribosomal RNA", at positions 29 to 507 of the family's 1533-position model. The record is from RNAcentral.